Molecule: long non-coding RNA, 729 nt
Filed under: Linum usitatissimum (flax)
Lineage: Eukaryota; Viridiplantae; Streptophyta; Magnoliopsida; Malpighiales; Linaceae
Description: long non-coding RNA (LUSI_LNC003039)
Source: RNAcentral
CUCCUCCUAAGAAGUCUCCACCGCCUCCAUACCAUUACUCGUCGCCGCCUCCUCCUAAGAAAUCCCCGCCACCUUCAUACCAUUACAGUUCUCCUCCUCCUCCUCCUAAGAAAUCUCCACCACCACCAUACCAUUAUAGUUCUCCUCCCCCUCCAGUGAAAUCUCCACCGCCUCCAUACCAUUACUCGUCACCACCUCCUCCUAAGAAGUCUCAUCCGCCACCAUAUCAUUACUCGUCUCCUCCCCCUCCAGUGAAAUCUCCACUGCCUCCAUAUCACUACUCAUCGCCUCCUCCUCCUCCUAAAAAGUCUCCACCGCCUCCAUACCAUUACUCUUCAACUCCUCCUCCCAAGAAAUCUCCUCCACCAUCAUACCACUACUCGUCGCCUCCUCCUCCAGUGAAAUCUCCCCCACUUCUAUACCAUUACUCUUCCCCUCCGCCUCCCAAGAAGUCCCCCCCACCACCAUACCACUACUCCUCACCUCCUCCUCCGGUAAAGUCUCCACCGCCUCCAUACCACUACUCGUCACCUCCAUCACCCAAGAAGUCCCCCCCACCACCAUACCACUACUCAUCGCCUCCUCCUCCGGUUAAGUCUCCCCCACCACCGUACCACUACUCAUCACCACCUCCUCCCAAGAGGUCUCCUCCGCCACCGUAUCACUACUCGUCACCACCUCCUCUCAAAAAGUCUCAUCCGCCACCAUACCAUUACACAUCACCUCCAC